CCGAGGGUUUCCAGGCCAGCACCAGGCCUGCCCCUGGCUGCCAUUCUCACUCAGUGCUUCUGUCUUGAUAGGCAAGGCAGGCUCCCCCACCUACCGGGAGCCCACAGCCCAAAUGAUGGGAACAAGGUGAGGAGGUAAAGAGACUUGCCUAGAACCAGCAUCCAUCAAGCCUAGGAGUGGUCCUCCAGUCCCUGGCGCACUCUGCUCCUGCUGGUGGCCCUGUGAGGAAGAGAAGUGGGACUGAAGAGAGAAAUCAUGGAGAACUGCCACCACUGCCAUGUGACAGCCUUCCACGAAGCUGAAAGCUUUCAGUGACCAGAAACUGGGGUUCUCAGUAUUCAGAACACAUUUUACUUGUAUCAUGAAUGCUCCUUGUUUAAUAAUAGUGGUGACUUCUGAAGAACAUUCUGGAAUACAUUUUAUCAUCCUGAAAAUCUUAACUGAGGAAACCUCCAACCUAUCACAUAUGGCCCAAGAGGAGACUGGUUUCUACCAAGGUGAUAAAUACUUCAGGGGGGUCUCAAAACCAUGUCUUGGCCAAGGACUUUGCACCCCAGAGCGCUGUGGCCCUGUGAACAAUGCAGGAUGGCGUGGGGACCAACAGCCAUGCUGUUCUCUCCCUGGGACCCGGGCCGCAUUCUUCCCUCUGCUUAGCGAGUUCGGGAAAACCGAGGCCUUGCCAGCAGCCAGGUGGAUGGGGAGGUGCCUGGCCUAUGCUCCUGAGGUAACACUCGUCAAGCACCUAAGUGGCAAGAGAGAAUGGCCUGCCCUGGAGAAAGCUGCUAAGAGCCAGCAAAGAGUCACAAUUCCAGGCCUGGCCACGACGCAGCACGUUGAGAACAUGCUGCAGCUGAGGAGGCAUUGGGGGCUCCCAGUUCAGGUGCGGCAGCUCUGGCUUUCCUCUCAGGCUUUAAAUGCACGUGGAGCUCGAACUUCCCUAGGAAAGGUGCUGCCACCUUUCUUUCCCUUCCCUGGGGAGGUUUGAGUUCUGGGAUAAUGUUUCCUCCUGUUUUGAGAUUUUCCUAUAGAAUUGCCCACGUGAGAGCCUCACUUUUUUUCCCCUGUGAAAUUCUCAGAAAACCUCUGGGAGGAGAGAACAUUUUUUUUAAAGGAGCCUGAGAAAUCUCCUCCCCUAGUUCUAGAGACCCUCCCUCCCACCUGGAUCUGGAAGCCAACAGAUUCCUGUGCUCACAACCAUCACUGCACAUGGCAGCUGUGAGCCCUCCCGGGAGGGCGCGGGAGGUCCUGAUCCCCGCAUCGCCAGCUUCCUCUGUGAUCUUCCCUAAGCCCCUCAAUCCUUCUGCUCUGCCAUGUGCAAACCAAAUGCUCCCAGUGUCACCCUGGCUUCUCCAUGGCAGAGAAGCAGAAUCCAAGCAGGAAGCUGUUUUGGGAUUAAGGGCUACAGGACCCUUCUUCCUGACAGUGCGUCACAGAUUUCUUCAGAAAUGCCUUACCAUCAUGUGAGUAAGGACCCAUCCAGGGUAAUCAACGCACCUGCUGGUGCGUCCAGGAGUUUCCUGGUUGUAGCACUGAGUUCUGCCUCCUGAAACAACCCAGACAGUUGGUCACCCUGUCUGUACUCCCCUUAGGUGUUAAAAAGUGAAUAGCUCCUGGCUGGUGGUGGGUCCUCCACCCCUCAUACCUUCUCCCCCCCAAACAAGACUGGGGGAGGCUCCUCCAACAGGGGUGAAAGAAAGGUAGAAAAGACCCAUUUGAGUUUGAGAAGAGGAGAGAGGAAGCUUCAAGAUGUCAGAGCCUGCCUCUCCCAACUUCAGGCUUAACUGGGCUGGGAUUUCUGGCCUGGCCCAGAGAACCUAGCCCCUCAGCUGGGGCCCACUCUUGGCUCCUGUCUUGUUGGCUUCCACGUGGGGCUGGGUGGCAGGAAGGAACAGGUGUGGAGAUGCCCUGUUAAAUGCCUCCUCACGGUCACAUACCUGUUAAACCUUUCUUCGGGCGCACUGCUCUCGCAGGCUUUCUCUGGCAGGGCGGCAGGGCGUGUGCCCACCCACAUGCUCCCCCAGACAGUACCUUCACCUGCUCCUGUGAUGCUGGGCCCACGCACUCACAAACGGUACCCAGAGCUUAAGCAAAACACCCACUUGAGCUAUGCAAAUAGGUGCACGUGCACGCGCGCGCGCGCGCACAC
Long non-coding RNA from Hippopotamus amphibius kiboko, 2146 nucleotides. RefSeq lists it as uncharacterized. The transcript is spliced from 3 exons. Lineage: Eukaryota; Metazoa; Chordata; Mammalia; Artiodactyla; Hippopotamidae. The record is from RefSeq and is a predicted model, not a curated record.